UACGUAGGUGGCAAGCGUUGUCCGGAUUUACUGGGCGUAAAGAGCGCGCAGGCGGUCGUAUAAGUCGAAUGUGAAAGCCCCCGGCUCAACUGGGGAGGGUCAUUCGAUACUGUUCGACUCGAAGGCAGGAGAGGGAAGUGGAAUUCCGGGUGUAGUGGUGAAAUGCGUAGAUAUCUGGAGGAACACCGGUGGCGAAGGCGGCAUCCUGGACCAAUAUUGACGCUGAGGAGCGAAAGCCAGGGGAGCAAACGGG
Molecule: ribosomal RNA, 253 nt
Filed under: uncultured bacterium
Lineage: Bacteria
Description: partial 16S ribosomal RNA
Rfam family: Bacterial small subunit ribosomal RNA
Source: RNAcentral